GUUCUUGAAAUUUAAAAGAUUUGGCGGUAUCUUAGUCUUUUCAGAGGAACCUGCCCUAUAAUUGAUAUUCCACGAUUUAUUGUACUUAAAUUAAAAGUUUGUAUAUCGUCGUAGUUGAAUGUUUUAUAAGAAUUAGAUUAACAUUCAAUAUUUAUAAUCUAAUAAAUUAAAUCAGAUCAAGAUACAGCUUAUAUUUGAGAAGAGGUGGGUUACAAUAAAAUUAUUUAUGGUUAUAAUAAUUAAAAUUAUUAUUUAAAUUGGAUUUGAAAGUAAUAUACUUAAGUUAAAGUAUAUGAUUUAAGCUCUGAGAUAUGCACAUAUCGCCCGUCGCUUCCAAUGAAUAUUUAAAUUGGAAUAAGUCGUAACAUAGUAGGCGUACCGGAAGGUGUGCCUAGAUUGACAAAUUAAAGCUUUAAAUGAGUAUUUUAUUUACAUUAAAAGGGUAAUUGUGAAAAUCAAUUUAAUUUGAAUUUAAAAAUUUAUUAUAUUUUAAAGUUUUAUAUAGUUUAAAAAAAAUAUUUUUAUGUUUAUUUAUUAAUUUAGAUAAAAUUAUUUAUAAUUAUAGUUUAUUAGUAUAGUGAUAGAACAUUGAAAAAUUUGAAAAUUUAAAAUAUUUAAAAGAAAGUUUAAUAUAUUGUACCUUGUGUAUCAGGGUUUAUUAAAUAUAAAUUAUUAAUUUUAAUUUUCUCGAAUUUAAAAGAGCUAAGAAAUUAUUUAUUUUAUUGUAGAAUAAAUAUUUAUAAUAAUUUUUUAGUAAUGAAACGUUAUUCGUUUUUAAAUAUAUCUAGUUUUUUAAGAAAUAAAUUUAAUUUAGUUAAUUAUUUGAAUAUUUAUAAUUUUUUAUUUUUAUUAAUAUAAUUAAUUAAUAUUUUAAGGGAUAAGCUUUAAAAUAAAAUUUUUAUAAAUUUUAUUUAAAUUUUAUGUAUAAAUUAAUAGGAUUAGAAUUUUUUAUUUUUAAUAAGAUGUUAUAAUGAAUUUAUACUUUAAUUAAAUUUUUAUAAAAUUUUAAAUUUUAUAUUAAAAUUAUUUAUUUAAUAUUAAAAAUAUAUGCAAUAAUGAUAAAAUUAGUAUAAUAUAUUGUUUAAUAAUUUUAAACAUUAAGGUUAAAUUAAGGAAUUCGGCAAUUUAUUUUUCUGCCUGUUUAUUAAAAACAUGUCUUUUUGAUUAUAAUUUAAAGUCUGGCCUGCCCUAUGAGGAUUUAAAUGGCCGCGGUAUUUUGACCGUGCAAAGGUAGCAUAAUCAUUAGUUUCUUAAUUAGGAACUGGUAUGAAUGGUUGGACAAGAAAAAUACUGUCUCAAUUUAAUUUUUAUUAGAAUUUUAUUUUUAAGUUAAAAAGCUUAAAUAAUUUUAAAAGACGAGAAGACCCUAUAGAGUUUUAUACUUUAUUUUUUAUUUAAAAAUUUAAGUAUUAAUAAGUUUAAUUAGAUUAAUAAAGUAUUUGAUUGGGGUGAUUAAAAAAUUUAUAAAACUUUUUUUUAAUUUAUACAU
This 1489-nucleotide ribosomal RNA is filed under the name Lepanus sp. SQ4. RNAcentral's name for it is "partial large subunit ribosomal RNA". The record is from RNAcentral. Lineage: Eukaryota; Metazoa; Arthropoda; Insecta; Coleoptera; Scarabaeidae.